This 496-nucleotide ribosomal RNA is filed under the name uncultured bacterium. RNAcentral's name for it is "partial 16S ribosomal RNA". It matches the Rfam family "Bacterial small subunit ribosomal RNA", at positions 28 to 506 of the family's 1533-position model. The record is from RNAcentral.
GAUGAACGCUGGCGGCGUGCCUAAUACAUGCAAGUCGAGCGAACAGACGAGGAGCUUGCUCCUCUGACGUUAGCGGCGGACGGGUGAGUAACACGUGGAUAACCUACCUAUAAGACUGGGAUAACUUCGGGAAACCGGAGCUAAUACCGGAUAAUAUAUUGAACCGCAUGGUUCAAUAGUGAAAGACGGUUUUGCUGUCACUUAUAGAUGGAUCCGCGCCGCAUUAGCUAGUUGGUAAGGGAACGGCUUACCCAGGCAACGAUGCGUAGCCGACCUGAGAGGGGAAUCGGCAACCCUGGAACUAAGACAGGGUCCAGACCCCUAGGGGAGGCAGCAGUAGGGAAUCUUCCGCAAUGGGCGAAAGCCUGACGGAGCAACGCCGGGUGAGUGAUGAAGGUCUUCGGAUCGUAAAACUCUGUUAUUAGGGAAAAACAAAUGUGUAAGUAACUAUGCACGUCUGGACGGUACCUAAGCAGAAAGCCACGCCUACUUACGU